RNA transcript from Drosophila biarmipes, 1853 nucleotides. RefSeq lists it as uncharacterized. The transcript is spliced from 3 exons. The record is from RefSeq and is a predicted model, not a curated record. Lineage: Eukaryota; Metazoa; Arthropoda; Insecta; Diptera; Drosophilidae.
UUUUUUUAAUUGCAUUGUGGAGUCUUGAAUGAAAAUGGCAAACCUUGAACCUCAAUCCUCGUUAAGAGAAGUGGUCAUUCCUGUUGGUUAUUGGAAUUAUUAACCAGCAUAAAUCGAAAUCGCAACGCAUUUUAAAUUUACUGGUGCAGAUGGAGGAAGCGCUCCUGAACCGAUUGCAUUGCUCAAAUGUUUCCUUGACAGCGGACCGCGCAAAAGUCGGUGACCAAAGUAAGCCCAACAAGUUUCGCCGCUCUGGCCAUCCAUAGUUUUCCACAUCCACGUACCAUUUUUGGCCCGAAAAGGAAAAGUGGUUCACCCGCGAAACCGGACUUUAAGCAGGGCUGGGCAAUUAAACUACUUGCAGUACUAGGAGGGGCGUAAUAAGUUUUAGGCACUGAACAAAUUUGAAGUAUUUAUUUGCGUUUUUGCAAAUUUAUAAAUUACAAAUUGAAUAUUUUCGAGAUUUUUCCGUACCUACGCUAGAUCAGAAGCUGAUUUUGAUCAGGGGAUUUUGGGGGGUAUGCAAAUUGGGCUUAGUGUGUGCUGGCGGGAGGGGGGUAGAAUCCUCCUUUCGCCUCCUACUGGAUCCGCGUCUGCCUUUGGUGAAUGGUAAAAUUCAACAUUCGACGAGUCUAUAUUGGAAUAAAGCGUACCCCUAUUUUUCAUCGUGUAUCAGUUCAUCCACCGCCAAAUGUGUGCGCUUCCGUUUUGUUGGAUUUCGACGCCUUCCUCUUUCCAAAGGAAGGAGGGAGAUAUAUAAGAGGCUGCUCCGCCCAGAGACUCUACAAUAGAAAUUCAGUCAUGGUCGGGUCACUUCGUGCUACACUGAUAGGCCUAGUAUUGCAGAUCCUGUGCAAUGAGCUAGCCGGCCAACAUGUGCUUCUCGCACGUCCCCAUAGAUCCCUUUUCAAAGCUUCGGAGCACCAGCUGGUGCACCUUCCCUCCUUGGGCUGGAUUGGAGGGGACCAAUGGGCCUACAGCCCCAUUGGCCUAGGACACAUGAGCAAGGAUGAGCUGCUGACCCUACUAGAGGCCUGGAAAGAGGUGGAUUCGGCCACGACAACCACAGCACCGCCAGCGAAGACCAACACACAGAGAACACCUCCCCCUAUACCGCCGCCUCCUCCACGACGCCCCAUUCCAAUACCCAUUCCCAUGCCUGCUCUGGAUCUUCUAUUUCCGCAGUCGCCUUCCGGAACUCCCAUUACCGCUCAGCUCCCAGCGUUUGUGCCUGUACGUCUGGCUGCCGUGUUUACUCCGCCUUCCGGUGGAACUGGUGUGGAAGGAGCUUAUGAUGAUGGUGCUCCGCCUGCUCCUGAAAGCGAAAGUGUUGGCGGAGAUGAUUUGGUCACCGAUGACGUACCAAAUGGCAAAGCCACUCCUCGUUUGUUUCGUUUUAUGUCUAUGCCAGUGGUUCAAGACAGCACCCAUUCCCAUAUACAGCUCAGGCAGAAGUUCGUGGUGAAGAACACCCUGGACAGCGUGGACGCGGGCACUGCUCCUGUCAGACAUCAAGUUAAACCGGAGGUAAAGCCCAAAACGAGUGCUUUUGCAGCUCCUCUAUCCAUCCCCAACGUUCCUAGCCACCCAGCCCUCAUUUUCCAAUCCAGACUUGGCAUGCCUUCUCAUCUGGCCAACGCACGCUUCGAACUGGUGCCCUCUUCACACGUCAUCGGCAACUGGCUGGAGUGAUCCUGCACCUUAAUAACAUGUUUCCAUAACCAAAGGAGAAGAGUUCCAUGUUCAUGCUGGACUUUUCCCCUUUUUCUCCUAUAGUGUAUUGUAAUAAAUAUAUUUUUUUUGUGCCCCAAACUAUAGUAUGAAAAUAGUCAUAGUCAAAACAGAGGCAGAGA